This is a long non-coding RNA of Pangasianodon hypophthalmus (striped catfish), 1501 nucleotides long. RefSeq lists it as uncharacterized. The record is from RefSeq and is a predicted model, not a curated record. The transcript is spliced from 2 exons. Lineage: Eukaryota; Metazoa; Chordata; Actinopteri; Siluriformes; Pangasiidae.
CCUCCUCCCCCUCCCCCCCUCCGCUUCCUUCCUCACGCGCGGUGGUCUCGGGGUCUCCCAUGGCAGCACGUUAGCGCGUGCACAUCACAAAAACACAAACCAAAAUAUAAAUAAACAACCUCACUUGCUCCAUUCGUCCAGCUAGACAACGGUGAUGUGUAGGAAUAUCACCCAUGAUGACAUGAUCAAUUAAGGCUCCUUGUGUUUUUCUCUAAAUGGCUGUGUAGGCUACAGUCACACUCUGAUCUCUCCCUAGCCAUUGAGUUUUUUUUUUUUUUUAAUCUUUAUGCACCAUAUAUGCUUUAAACUGUGUGUUUAUUAAUCAACAUUGCGGUUACUUUCUUGGUAACAAUGGUGGUGAUAAAGGGCGGAUUUUCUGACCAUUUUACCUGACGUCACAUGAAGCCGAAAACGCCUAGAAUUAAGGAAAUUCGUGGAAAAAAAUGUUCCCGCGUGGCUCAACGCGCAUGCGCAGCACUCUCACAUAGGAAACACGGGGCCUUUGCGACACCUUUUCCUGCUCUUCAUGAUCCAGGCUCGACUUUGAUAGAAGGCCAAAUGCAUUGGUUUCAUUGGUGAUUUGUUGUUUGUUCUCCGCUGAUGCAAUUCCUGACUGGGGCCAACACCAUGGUUUGUCAUCUGCAUUUCAUUUUGACACAUGCUUUAAUAUAUAUAUAUAUAUAUAUAUAUAUAUAUAUAUAUAUAUAUAUAUAUAUAUAUAGGAUGAUUAAAUGUUAUACAGGCUGAAUCAGAAAAAUCAUCCUUACAAAUGAUGACAAAUGUAUGAUUCUGUAAAGUUUGUGAAACAUGCAGUCCAGUGAUGCAGGAGUGUAGAAAUAAAGGUGAAGUAGAAUACCCACAUGUUUACUGUAUCUUUCAUACAAAACAGGCUUGAUAUAAAUGUAUUGUAAUGUAUGGUGAUGUUGGUGGAAAAAAUAAAUAUGGCAGGAUGGAGUCUGUGCUGCAGUAGGUUUGAGGGUAGGUGGCAGGAAAGGGGGUGUGGUCACAAGUACAGGUUUAAGGCCCACUAGUAAUUUCUUUAAAAAAGUCAUAUUUUCUGUUUCUUGCACGUUUGAAAUUAUAAAAGCUGAGCCAUAUUUACUUUAAAAUGCUGUAAUGCAUUUACAAUAUGAAGUCCACCUUGCAGGCGAGACCCUAUCAAUAUUGCCUCUGCUUUUUCGACUGUAACUGUAGUAGUGCAAUAUUGCUUAUAGGGUCUUGACUUUAAGGCAUAUCUACAAUAGCAAGUGUUCCUCAUUUAACUGUUUUUAUGUGGUAUGGUAAAAAUGUAAGACGAUGCAGUGAUGGUAUGACUGAUGUAAUGAUCUGAUAUGAUAUAACCGAUGUAUGUUAUGCUGAGAAAUUCUUACAAGUCAUAAAUGAAGAAAAGUUCAUUUCAAUCUAUUUUGCAUUUCUUUAAGAAUGAUAUGGGUUUACAGAAAUGUGGUCCUAAGUUUCCUUAAAUAAGUGGAGAAAAAACAAUAUAACAAUAUAUUAAAUG